AUUGAACGCUGGCGGCAGGCCUAACACAUGCAAGUCGAGCGAGCGGCGGACGGGUGAGUAAUGCCUGGGAAUUGCCCAGUCGAGGGGGACAACAGUUGGAAACGACUGCUAAUACCGCAUACGAUCGGAUUGCUCACGUGGGAUUAGCUAGGUGGUGAGGGAAUGGCUCACCAAGGCGACGAUCCCUAGCUGGUCUGAGAGGAUGAUCAGCCACAAUGGAAGUGAGACACGGUCCAGGCUCCUACGGGAGGCAGCAGUGGGGAAUAUUGCACAAUGGUGGAAACCCUGAUGCAGCCAUGCCGCGUGUGUGAAGAAGGCCUUCGGGUUGUAAAGCACUUUCAGCGAGGAGGCGUUACUCGCAGAAGAGGCACCGGCUAACUCCAUGCCAGCAGCCGCGGUAAUAC
RNAcentral lists this ribosomal RNA (404 nucleotides) under uncultured bacterium. Its description in RNAcentral is "partial 16S ribosomal RNA". It matches the Rfam family "Bacterial small subunit ribosomal RNA", at positions 30 to 526 of the family's 1533-position model. The record is from RNAcentral.